RNAcentral lists this long non-coding RNA (1399 nucleotides) under Urocitellus parryii (Arctic ground squirrel). RNAcentral describes it as "lncRNA (ENSUPAG00010011803.1)". Lineage: Eukaryota; Metazoa; Chordata; Mammalia; Rodentia; Sciuridae. The record is from RNAcentral.
AUGGGGACGGCUCCUUGCCCAGCAAGCAAGCCGAAGGGAGCCCAGAGCCUCAGGACCAGGAGAGGGURUGCAGGGAAGCCUCACUAUGCACUAGCAGUGGCCAGGGUCACCCUGGGUCUGAGCAGCAGCUUCCAGCUGGGCCAGGAGCCCGUGCAGGAGCUGUCAGAAGACCCYGAGCCCCAUCGAUGGAGUUAUCCCAGCAGAUCUCAAGCCUCCGGGUCACAAGCCAUGGCCAGGGGCAACGAGGAGCUGGAACCGAGGCCACGAGAGGGUUGGCCCUCCCUCCAUAUCCACGGGCGCCCGUCCAGGGAUCCACCUACCGCGGGUCAAAAAUAUCAGGAAAAGAAUCGCAUCUGCACUGAGUGCGUGCAGACUUUAUUUUUUGUCAUCAUUCCCUAACAACCCAGMACAACAGGGAUCUGCCAGCACGCACACGACCCUGGGAAUGACACAGCCCAGGGGUGACUUAAUGUAGAGUGGAGGGAACUCGUGGGUCGUGUGCCAACACUAUAUCCAUUAAUCCAAGGGACUGGAGCAUCGAUGGAUUCCAGCAUCUGGAGCCUGUCCACCCGGCCAUAGACGGUGACUGUGUGUGUGUUGAAGGGUCCUUUGGCAACUUCAGGAAGAAUCUGGAGGAGCGGUCUUUACUUCGCCAUCUCUGAGAUCGGUGGCGGUCCGGAUGUCACUUSGAUAAACGAUGUGCCCACAGUGACGCCUGCGAGAAGCCCAGAGCUGACCCAAAGGCUGUGGAGAGAAGUAUGCACCUGUCCUCGGGGAGGGAGGGCCCCGCGAACACGCAACCCGCUCCACUGGCUCUCCACUCGGCGGUGGUGCCUCAUCUGCAAGACUUCAGGAGCAGCCACCGGUGCCCUUCUCUAGACGUGGGGAGGGCAGACCAGACCCCRUGACCCCUGUUCUAUCACAUUCUAGAAGGAGAAGGCACAUGGACCAACUAAGAGCUAGACUUUGUCAGUUAUGGAUACUUCAGGUUGACGGGGUGGGAAGAUCCCCGUUGUUUCAAGUGUAAACUGAAUGACUAGAAGAUUCCAGGCCCACGAUGAUUUGAGAAACAGCCCUCCAGGAAGAGGGGCUGCUCGUGCCAAGGGCCUGAGGUGGGAAUGAGUCUGGUGUGUUUUAGGAAAUCAGGUCAGUGGGGCUGGGGUGUGGGGAACAAGAAAUGAGUGUCAGGGAUGUUGACAGGAGCAAGAUCAAGGGCCUGUUGAGAAACCUGGUCAUGGUGGCCGGCCGACAAUGCAGCAUCGGGGAAUCUGUACAGAAAAAGCAAUUUACCUCCAGUCAGCAGACCCACGAGCAAAGAAAGCUUUGGCCAUAUUGUCACAGAGUCAAAGGAAUAUAAACUCACACGUCUGAAGUUGUAACAGACUGUCCAGGGCUUGUG